AUACGGAGGAUCCGAGCGUUAUCCGGAUUUAUUGGGUUUAAAGGGUGCGCAGGCGGCCAUUUAAGUCAGCGGUUAAAUCGUGGGGCUCAACCCCAUUCUGCCGUUGAUACUGGGUGGCUUGAUUGCGGUCGAGGUUGGCGGAAUUCGUUGUGUAGCGGUGAAAUGCAUAGAUAUGACGAAGAACACCGAUUGCGUAGGCAGCUGACCAGACCGCAAAUGACGCUCAUGCACGAAAGUGCGGGGAUCGAACAGGAUUAGAUACCCUGGUAGUCCGCACAGUAAACGAUGAAUACUUGUUUUCGGCGAUAUAAUGUCGGAGGCAAAGCGAAAGCGAUAAGUAUUCCACCUGGGGAGUACGCCGGCAACGGUGAAACUCAAAUGAAUUGGCGGGGG
This 393-nucleotide ribosomal RNA is filed under the name uncultured bacterium. RNAcentral's name for it is "partial 16S ribosomal RNA". It matches the Rfam family "Bacterial small subunit ribosomal RNA", at positions 523 to 919 of the family's 1533-position model. The record is from RNAcentral.